UGAGGAAUCUUCCACAAUGGGCGAAAGCCUGAUGGAGCAACGCCGCGUGCAGGAUGAAGGCCUUCGGGUUGUAAACUGCUUUUAUUUGUGAAGAAUAUGACGGUAACAAAUGAAUAAGGGUCGGCUAACUACGUGCCAGCAGCCGCGGUCAUACGUAGGACCCAAGCGUUAUCCGGAGUGACUGGGCGUAAAGAGUUGCGUAGGUGGUUUGUAAAGCGAAUAGUGAAAUCUGGCGGCUCAACCGUACAGGCUAUUAUUCGAACUCACAAACUCGAGAAUGGUAGAGGUUACUGGAAUUUCUAGUGUAGGAGUGAAAUCCGUAGAUAUUAGAAGGAACACCAAUGGCGUAGGCAGGUAACUGGACCAUUUCUGACACUAAGGCGCGAAAGCGUGGGGAGCGAACC
Molecule: ribosomal RNA, 404 nt
Filed under: uncultured prokaryote
Description: bacterial SSU rRNA
Rfam family: Bacterial small subunit ribosomal RNA
Source: RNAcentral